RNAcentral lists this transfer RNA (113 nucleotides) under Alligator mississippiensis (American alligator). It matches the Rfam family "tRNA". From Rfam's summary of the family: Transfer RNA (tRNA) molecules are approximately 80 nucleotides in length. Their secondary structure includes four short double-helical elements and three loops (D, anti-codon, and T loops). Further hydrogen bonds mediate the characteristic L-shaped molecular structure. tRNAs have two regions of fundamental functional importance: the anti-codon, which is responsible for specific mRNA codon recognition, and the 3' end, to which the tRNAs corresponding amino acid is attached (by aminoacyl-tRNA synthetases). tRNAs cope with the degeneracy of the genetic code in two manners: having more than one tRNA (with a specific anti-codon) for a particular amino acid; and 'wobble' base-pairing, i.e. permitting non-standard base-pairing at the 3rd anti-codon position. Lineage: Eukaryota; Metazoa; Chordata; Crocodylia; Alligatoridae. The record is from Rfam by way of RNAcentral.
GUUAGGAUAGCUGAGUGGUCUAAGGCACCUGACUCAAAAGAGAGCUGCCUUUUGUAGCAGAUGGGUGUUCUGGUCUCCGUAAGGAGAUCUGGGUUCGAAUCCCACUGCUGACA